UUGAAAGGGAAACGAUUGAAGUCAGUCGUACCGACGAGAAAUCAACUUAUCGUGUGCGAACUUGUGGGCGUGCGUGAGUUUCGGCCUCGCUGUUUGCAUAUUUGUGCGUUUUGGGUGUACUUUUUCGUAUGGUAGGCCAACGUCAGUUUCGAUUAUCAUAAAAUGACCGGCGGAAUGUAGCUUCGAUUUCGGUUGAAGUGUUAUAGCCUCUGGUAGAUGUGGUGAUUGAGACUGAGGAUUGCAACGAAUACCCUUCGGGCUAUCCGUCUGGCCUCUGAAAGUUGCUCAGGUGCCGAAAGCGUGCUUACGGUCAUCUAAGAUAACGUUCAACAGGUUAGAACGUGAUUACAUUCGUUAAGGAUGUUGACGUA
Molecule: ribosomal RNA, 371 nt
Filed under: uncultured Glomeromycotina
Lineage: Eukaryota; Fungi; Glomeromycota
Description: eukaryotic LSU rRNA
Source: RNAcentral